UGGGGAAUAUUGCACAAUGGGCGCAAGCCUGAUGCAGCCAUGCCGCGUGUAUGAAGAAGGCCUUCGGGUUGUAAAGUACUUUCAGCGGGGAGGAAGGGAGUAAAGUUAAUACCUUUGCUCAUUGACGUUACCCGCAGAAGAAUCACCGGCUAACUCCGUGCCAGCAGCCGCGGUAAUACGGAGGGUGCAAGCGUUAAUCGGAAUUACUGGGCGUAAAGCGCACGCAGGCGGUCUGUCAAGUCGGAUGUGAAAUCCCCGGGCUUAACCUGGGAACUGCAUUCGAAACUGGCAGGCUAGAGUCUUGUAGAGGGGGGUAGAAUUCCAGGUGUAGCGGUGAAAUGCGUAGAGAUCUGGAGGAAUACCGGUGGCGAAGGCGGCCCCCUGGACAAAGACUGACGCUCAGGUGCGAAAGCGUGGGGAGCAAACAGG
This 429-nucleotide ribosomal RNA is filed under the name Chloroflexota bacterium. RNAcentral's name for it is "Chloroflexi bacterium partial 16S ribosomal RNA". It matches the Rfam family "Bacterial small subunit ribosomal RNA", at positions 355 to 776 of the family's 1533-position model. The record is from RNAcentral. Lineage: Bacteria; Bacillati; Chloroflexota.